GCGCCCAUAGCUCAGGUGGUAGAGCAACUCCCUUUUAAGGAGUGGGUCCUUGGUUCGAAUCCAAGUGGGCGCA
This 73-nucleotide transfer RNA is filed under the name Patescibacteria group bacterium. RNAcentral's name for it is "tRNA-Lys". It matches the Rfam family "tRNA". From Rfam's summary of the family: Transfer RNA (tRNA) molecules are approximately 80 nucleotides in length. The record is from RNAcentral.